UGCACUCACUACUGUAAGUCGCUCUGGAUAAGAGCAUCAGCUAAGUGACUAAAA
Molecule: non-coding RNA, 54 nt
Organism: Salmo salar (Atlantic salmon)
Lineage: Eukaryota; Metazoa; Chordata; Actinopteri; Salmoniformes; Salmonidae
Source: Rfam